AACUCAUUCACUUUGUAGAAUAAUUGAUGAUCAGCUUCAAAUUCAAAAGUUUUAUGAGAAUGUUUUUCCUUUUGAGUUGAUGCACUUGGAUUUAGUUUCACAAAGAAAUUAAUCUCAGAACACCUUUUGGGAAGUAUAUUCAUGAUUUAUGUCCUUCUUCUCAGUACUUGCACACCAAAAGUGACUAAAGUGAAGUUCAAAAACCCUCACCAGAGAUCAUUGUGUCCUCUGGAAGAGAAAAGGAAAUUUUCCCUUUUUUUUUAUACAUUAAUAUUAAAGGCAACAACAAUAUAUAUUAAAUUAAGACAUUGAUAAUAAUUUACUGACCAAAAGCCAUAUAAGACACAUUACAUAGGCCCCCUCAAAGAAAAAAAAUUAAGUAUGACGAAUCAUUCGAUGCCCGUUGAAUAGAAUUAACCAUAAUUGCAUAAGCCGUCUUAUCACGUAGAUUAUAUUCAUGUCACUGGUUUAGAGCUGAUCCUUCAUUGUUCCUUCAUGGUGAGUUUGGUGAAGUGUUAAAAGAUUGUCUAAUUUGAGUGUGGUUAGCUCUUGGAUAUUUUGGACGUGAGUAACAAAGUCGGAUGUCGAGUAAUUGAUCGUCAUGUUCGGAGACGUAAUCUGGUUGAUGAUCAAUUUUCUUAUGACUAUGAGGAUUUACGUUUUUAGGUUGUUUGUAUUUAUUUCCGAAAAAUUGUUUCAAAUGGUCAAUGUGGACAGUGUGAUUAUCGCCGGACCUUAUUCCUUUGAUUUUAGCACAACCGAAGAUAUUAACUUUAUUAUGCAAAAAGGUCCAAUAUACUUAGGACUGAAUUUGUCCUUUUUUUUGACCAGGAAUAGGUUUCCUUAAAAGAACAUGAUCACCUAUGGUGAAUUCUUUAGUCAAUCUGAUAUUAUUUGGAAGUUGUCGAUAAUUUUGUUUAUUUUGCUCACUUUGAUUAUUAGCGUUAUCAUUAAUUAUUUUGAAAGAGUCACA
RNAcentral lists this long non-coding RNA (973 nucleotides) under Androctonus crassicauda. Lineage: Eukaryota; Metazoa; Arthropoda; Arachnida; Scorpiones; Buthidae. The record is from RNAcentral.